Long non-coding RNA from Phyllopteryx taeniolatus (common seadragon), 2440 nucleotides. RefSeq lists it as uncharacterized. The transcript has 2 exons. Lineage: Eukaryota; Metazoa; Chordata; Actinopteri; Syngnathiformes; Syngnathidae. The record is from RefSeq and is a predicted model, not a curated record.
AGAAAAGUGAGCAUGUGGCCAUAACACAUUACUUUUGCACAAUUUGAAGAACUAUGUGGUGAAGCUCCCACCUAUUCAUAGUUCUCUAUUCAGAAAUUCUAUUAUUCACUUAUUUUUCAAACGCCUUCUCCAUGUCCACACAGCCCAUGUAGACUGGUUGGGAAAUCUCCCAUGCACCCUCCAGAAACCUGCUGAAGGUGAACAGCUGGUCCAUUGUUCCAGGGCCAGGACGAAAACAACACUGCUCCUCCUGAAUCUGACAUUCGACGUGUCGACAGACCCUCUCCAGCGACCGCAAAUAGACCGAACCAGGGAGGCUGAGGAGUGUGAUCCCCCUGUAGUUGAAACACAUCCUCCGGUCUCCCUUCUUAAAAAGGGGGACCACCACUCCGAUCUGCUAAUCCAGAAACACUGUCCCUGAUGUCCGAGACGGGUCAACCAGGACACGUGCAUUCAGACCUUCGUCAGUUGAAAUGGACAUUACUGCUUGAUGUCCUGUUUUGAUGGAUGAUGCUUGCAUAAAUACUGUACAUAUAUUUAUGGCAUGAUUGAAUUGGUAGAGCAUUUAUAGCUUUUAUAGUUGUAGAAGAAUUGAACAAUUCCAAUGCCAUGUUAGGGUUCCAAUGUCUUUGAACCAUCAGGAUUUGUUUUUUUUAAGAUGGUGUCAUGAAGUAGGCGUCCGUCUAUCAAGGCUCUGCUUUUUGUCUGUUGUUUUUUGUCAUUUGGUGUAUGUUGUCCCUCGCGUGGACCCAUUGUGGACUGUUUACAGCAGCAGCGUGACAAUCAUUGAUGGAGAAUGUCGGUACUCGACGGUUGCGCCCCUUUUGGCAGCAUGCCUGAAGCAGCACCGUCUGCGCUUUUCUUACUGUCGCCGUUGUUGUGUCUGAGCCGGAUAGGCAGCAGUUUUCCAAUAGCCACGGAAAUGUCGGCCCUGCUGGACUACCCGCGAUUGGAUGGAUGGCUGGGGGAGCUGAACGAGGUGCGUCGGCAAUGUGGAGCCCAGACGAGAUGUGGACAGGAGAGACAGAGGUGGCUCUGGAUAGGACUGGAGAAUGGAGCUAAUCUUCCUUUUCUUUUACUCGCAAACGGACGCUAAAGUUUUUUUGUUCACGUUAAAUUGUGUUUGUUGCAGCCGUGAGGUACGUCAUACUCGCUGUGAUUCUAACAUCUAUGAUCCACUGAUGAAGGGAGACUACAAACCAAGAAUGACUUACCAAUUCGAUACUUGGGUCUGCAUGUUAUCUGGAGACCGGACACUUCCAAAGUGCAGUGGUCGGUGAGCAGAGCUUGCCAGGGGAUGGUCACAGUGAUGCUGCUCACAAAGCCGUCCACUAUCUCCAGGGGAGCGCCCAGGGACUCCAGAAGCUCGUUGACGGCCUAAAGUAAAGAGAUGAGACACACAUGACAUGCUGAGUGACACAAAUGGAAAAACAUGUUGACUCAUUUCCAUAAAAAAAAAAAACAAGUGACGAUGUCUAUAGAUAGCUUGGUUACGAUAUUUGUUUUUGUAUUUCUUUGUUUGUGUGUCCAGGAAAACAAACAUUACAUUUGUAAAGAAAAGUGUGUAAAGAAAAAUACACAAUACCUAACCUAAUGUAAAUAUGUUACUGCAAACCAGAUAUUAAUGAUUUUAUGCCAUUUGCUCUUUCAUGAACAUCCAUUCAUUCGUUUGGGGUGAUAAAUAAAUGUAAUACAGCAAUAUCGACCUGUACGGCUGUCCUGUUGCAUCGUAAUCUGUUAUUGAUUAUUAAAUAUAGCUAGAUAGACGGCGAUACAGAUAGACAUACAGUCAGACAGAUCAUGUCGAUAUCAAAACAACCUGGCAACACAAGAGUGUGUAAUACAGCUCCUCUUUUUGUGUAUGACUUUACUAUAGAUAGAUAGAUAGAUAGAUAGAUAGAUAGAUAGAUAGAUAGAUAGAUAGAUAGAUAGAUAGAUAGAUAGAUAGAUAGAUAGAUAGAUAGAUAGAUAGAUAGAUAGAUAGAUAGAUAGAUAGAUAGAUAGAUAGAUAGAUAGAUAGAUAGAUAGAUAGAACCUGGCAACACAAAAGUAAUACAGUUCGUUCUAGUUGUAUGACUUACACGUUGCCAGGUUGGUUAGAAAUCCACCUAGCGAGGCAGAUAAGACAGUUGGCCACAAAGACGGAAAGAUCGAAAGAUAAGAAGUGAGCAGUGGUGGUGAACAUUUCCCACAAGUGUUUCCGCGAAGAAAAGCGAGCUGUGCAUGACGUUGGAGGAUGUUGUUGUCGAACACCGGCGGUGGCGUUGCGAAACAGUCACAUCAGAGUGGGUGAAACAAAAACAAUAAAACACACAGCACACAGCACACGGUGAUGGUUGCUGGCCACUUUUCCGAAACACUCACCCACACGUCGAGGUUGAUCUCCUUGAUGACGCCGCUGCCAUUGUACAGGUCCAAACCCAGUUGCUCCAAGCUCAGG